GCGGAUGUAGCCAAGUGGAUCAAGGCAGUGGAUUGUGAAUCCACCCAUGCCGCGGA
Molecule: transfer RNA, 56 nt
Filed under: Anathallis pusilla
Lineage: Eukaryota; Viridiplantae; Streptophyta; Magnoliopsida; Asparagales; Orchidaceae
Description: partial tRNA-His
Source: RNAcentral